CCUACGGGAGGCAGCAGUGGGGAAUAUUGGACAAUGGGGGAAACCCUGAUGCAGCGACGCCGCGUGAGAGAAGAAGUAACUCGGUACGGAAAGCUCUAUCAGCAGGGAAGAAAUACUGACCUUACGGUCAGCAGACGGUACCUGAGUAAGAAGCCCCGGUUAACUAAGUGCCAGCAGCCGCGGUAAUACGUAGGGGUCAAGAGUGCUCCGGUUUUACUGGGUUGAAAGGGAGCGUAGGCGGGGCGGCAAGUCUGGAGUGAAAUGCCGCAGCUUAACUGAGGAACUGCUUUUGAAACUGGCGACCUAGAGUGCGGGAGGGGUAAGCGGAAUUCCUGGUGUAGCGGUGAAAUGCGUAGAUAUUAGGAGGAACUCCGGUGGCGAAGGCGGCUUACUGGACCGUAACUGACGUUGAGGCUCGAAAGCGUGGGGAGCAAACAGGAUUAGAUACCCUUGUAGUC
This 458-nucleotide ribosomal RNA is filed under the name uncultured bacterium. Its description in RNAcentral is "partial 16S ribosomal RNA". It matches the Rfam family "Bacterial small subunit ribosomal RNA", at positions 338 to 795 of the family's 1533-position model. The record is from RNAcentral.